This 744-nucleotide long non-coding RNA is filed under the name Marmota monax (woodchuck). Lineage: Eukaryota; Metazoa; Chordata; Mammalia; Rodentia; Sciuridae. The record is from RNAcentral.
AUUUUGGGGAUUACUUUUGAAGUAUUAUUUUUGUCCCCAAAGCAGGCCCUUCUGAAACUGAUGAUGUCGAUGAAAAACUGCCCCUUUCGAAGUCUUUGCAAGGUAUAAACUUUUCACUUCCAUUCUCCCACAUCCUGUUGGUAUUUGAUGUUGCUUUAUAUUGGACAGACUGUUUUGUUAUUUAUAACUAUGUUAUUACUUUUCCAAAUGGAAAAGGAAAAAUGUUUUGGCCUUUUUUUUAAACAUAUAAAUGAACUUCACAAGCAACAAUUUUUCAAAACCAAUUUUCCCUUUUGUGAAUCUAGUAAUGAAUCUCGAAAUGGGUACAUGACACACUUUCCUAUUUAAGGUAAAGUACACAUUUAUACCUUAUAUCAGAAUAGUCAGAAUAAGGUUGUUGUUGUAUAAAGUCAGUGAUGUAAAUAUUGAUAAGGUCAUAUUGAUACUUAAUUUUUGAAAGGAUUGUAAAAUAUCACUUAUCCCUGGGUUUAUUAAUUGAUUGCCUUUUUGGAAUUGUCGUGUAGUAGUCCCAAGUUGACAAUCAUAGGCUGUAGUGAUUGCUUUUAUUUCUGUCUGGGCUUUGUUAGAUGUCCUCUGUUGUGUGAGUGUCACUGUCUAAGAUUUAACAGAGCAUAGAGGACACGGCCUGGACUACAUAGCCACCACCCUGGCCGGCCUCGCUCUUGACUCAUGCUCUCCUUUGACUCCUGGACUCUGCUCCACUGCCUCUCCUCCUUUUGACUU